GGGUUGGCGGGUGCCUACACAUGCAGUCGAGCGCGAAAGUCCCUUCGGGGGCAAGUAGAGCGGCGGACGGGUGAGUAAUACGUGGAUAAUCUUCCCUCGAGCUUGGGAUAACCCUGCGAAAGCGGGGCUAAUACCGGAUAAGACCACAUGUCAUAUGCCAUGUGGUAGAAGGUGGCUUAUAUUUAUAUGAGCUAUCACUUGAGGAUGAGUCCAUGGCCUAUCAGCUUGUUGGUGAGGUAAGAGCUCACCAAGGCUAUGACGGGUAGCUGGUCUGAGAGGACGACCAGCCACACUGGGACUGAGAUACGGCCCAGACUCCUACGGGAGGCAGCAGUGGGGAAUAUUGGGCAAUGGGCGCAAGCCUGACCCAGCGACGCCGCGUGGGUGAUGAAGGCCUUCGGGUUGUAAAACCCUUUCGUGCGGAAAGAACAGUCUCGUAGCGAAUACCUACGGGAUUUGACGGUACCGCAGGAAGAAGCACCGGCUAACUCCGUGCCAGCAGCCGCGGUAAUACGGAGGGUGCAAGCGUUGUUCGGAAUUAUUGGGCGUAAAGGGCGCGUAGGCGGUAGUGAAAGUCAGAUGUGAAAUCCUCCGGCUCAACUGGAGAACUGCAUCUGAAACUUCACAACUCGAGUACAGGAGAGGGAAACGGAAUUCCCGGUGUAGAGGUGAAAUUCGUAGAUAUCGGGAGGAACACCAGUGGCGAAGGCGGUUUCCUGGCCCUGAUACUGACGCUGAGGCGCGAAAGCGUGGGGAGCAAACAGGAUUAGAUACCCUGGUAGUCCACGCGGUAAACGGUGAACACUAGGUGUGGGAGGUGUAAUACCUUCUGUGCCGAAGCUAACGCGUUAAGUGUUCCGCCUGGGAAGUACGGCCGCAAGGAUG
RNAcentral lists this ribosomal RNA (885 nucleotides) under uncultured bacterium. Its description in RNAcentral is "bacterial SSU rRNA". It matches the Rfam family "Bacterial small subunit ribosomal RNA", at positions 33 to 896 of the family's 1533-position model. The record is from RNAcentral.